This 478-nucleotide ribosomal RNA is filed under the name uncultured bacterium. RNAcentral's name for it is "partial 16S ribosomal RNA". It matches the Rfam family "Bacterial small subunit ribosomal RNA", at positions 28 to 523 of the family's 1533-position model. The record is from RNAcentral.
GACGAACGCUGGCGGCGUGCUUAACACAUGCAAGUCGAACGGUAAGGCCCUUCGGGGUACACGAGUGGCGAACGGGUGAGUAACACGUGGUUGAUCUGCCCUGCACUUCGGGAUAAGCCUGGGAAACUAGGUCUAAUACCGGAUAGGACCACUGCCUGCAUGGGGGGUGGUGGAAAGCUUUUGCGGUGUGGGAUGGGCCCGCGGCAUAUCAGCUUGUUGGUGGGGUGAUGGCCUACCAAGGCGACGACGGGUAGCCGGCCUGAGAGGGUGACCGGCCACACUGGGACUGAGAUACGGCCCAGACUCCUACGGGAGGCAGCAGUGGGGAAUAUUGCACAAUGGGCGCAAGCCUGAUGCAGCGACGCCGCGUGAGGGAUGACGGCCUUCGAGUUGUAAACCUCUUUCAGCACCGACGAAGCGCAAGUGACGGUAGGUGCAGAAGAAGGACCGGCCAACUACGUGCCAGCAGCCGCAGUAA